This is a long non-coding RNA of Hipposideros armiger (great roundleaf bat), 1593 nucleotides long. RefSeq lists it as uncharacterized. Lineage: Eukaryota; Metazoa; Chordata; Mammalia; Chiroptera; Hipposideridae. The transcript is spliced from 2 exons. The record is from RefSeq and is a predicted model, not a curated record.
UUUGUAUUUUUAAUAGUCUGCAGUCUGUUAUGGGACUGUGCUCUUUGGAUGAAUACAUGGAGUGAGUAAAAUUUACCAUGUAACUUUUAAGCUUUGUUUUCAUACAAGGAAGGUCAAGUCUCCCAUUUUUGAAGGGCAUCUAAAUUCAGGUUACACAUGGCCAUGAACUGCAAAGGUGCCCUACAGCAUAGAGAAGUGAUUUAUUUUUAUAGAGUACCUCUUAUGCAAUACCAGAAAUUGAAUUGAUUUGUGCAGUCAGAAAGAUCGGUUUCUAUAUUCAAAGCUGCAAUCAUUAUAUAUACAACUGUAUACCAAGCUAAUGUAACAAUAUCAGCAACAACAACAAAAAAUAGUAAUUCACAGGCACAUUACCUUGUAGUAUUAAAGAGAAACAUGUGGUUGAAAAAUACUUAUUCUUAAGGGGACAUAAGUUAAAGAUUUUCAUUGAUGUGGUCCUUUAUAAGUUGAAGAGAUCUACACAUUAACUAAUAAGAUUUGAGUUCAAAACAGCUAGUUAAUGAAAAUCUUGUCUUAAAGUGAAACUUAUUUAUUUGUAAAGAAAAAUUAUAACUACUACAUGCAAACUUAUAUGAAUUAGGUAAAGAACCCCUGAGAACUCCAGAAAAAUUUUCUGAGGAAAUUAAAAAACAAGUAAAAUGUAAACCUUUAAAUAGACAUAUUCAAGCUGAGGUAUGAGGAAGCAAUAAAAAUAUUGGGCGUGUGUGUGUGUCAGAGUGAGAGAGACAGGGAGAGGGCAGUAGAAAAAAAAACAGAAAGUAGAAAUGAAAUAAAGAUUCCAUUCUUAUAUAAAGGGAGAGAAGUUAAAAUAAUUAGGGGGAAAAAAAGCAGAAGAGGCUAUUUUUUCAUUAAGAAGUACAAAGAACACAAGAGUAACACUGUUUCUAAGGCGUACCUUAUGAUCCUUAGGUAGCUUUCAAACGGGUCUCUAUCUGGAUCAAGCCAGGUGGGAAUUUUAGACCUAAGCCUGUGAGGCUCCUCCCAUCUGCCCAUGGAGCCCGCCCUGUGACAAACCUGCACCGUUUCAUCACUAGGCUCUGGCCUCUUGCCACAGUUGACAGCAUGACACUGAGGUCAGAGCCAGUGGGGUGCCUUCUGCACUGCACUCUAGGACUGUCCAAACUGGGCCUGUAUAACUUCUAACUUCCAGCUCUAGGAUUCCAGAAAUAGUGACGGGGUCCCAGUCUCAAACUAUAUUUAAAUUCAUGUUUGUAUGAGUAAGUAGAAACCUACUAAUAUUUUAACCCCUAAAAAAUCAACAGCAAACAAUUUACAGAAUCUUUAUUGCAAACAGAGGUCAUUAAUAGUUAUUACAAAUUGAAUUAACUGAAACUCAAGUUAGCGAUCUGAAACAGAUUUAUAGGUUUAUUUUGUAUGGCAUAAUCUGUAAUGUUUGCCCCCUCAACACUUUUUAAAAGAAAACUAAAUUUAUCAGCAUUUCAAUGGUAUCUGUUUUGUCAAGUUUAGCACUGGAACAUUCUUACCCUCUUAAAAAAAACUCAUUCAAAUUAGGCAGAAUUUCUACCUUUCAUCACAAACCUAUUACACAAAAUUUGUUUUUUCAUAAUGCAAAAA